AACGAACGCUGGCGGCAUGCCUAACACAUGCAAGUCGAACGAGACCUUCGGGUCUAGUGGCGCACGGGUGCGUAACGCGUGGGAACCUGCCCUUAGGUUCGGAAUAACUCCCCGAAAGGGGUGCUAAUACCGGAUAAUGUCUUCGGACCAAAGAUUUAUCGCCUUUGGAUGGGCCCGCGUUGGAUUAGCUCGUUGGUAGGGUAAAAGCCUACCAAGGCGACGAUCCAUAGCUGGUCUGAGAGGAUGAUCAGCCACACUGGGACUGAGACACGGCCCAGAAUCCUACGGGAGGCAGCAGUGGGGAAUAUUGGACAAUGGGCGAAAGCCUGAUCCAGCAAUGCCGCGUGAGUGAUGAAGGCCGUAGGGUUGUAAAGCUCUUUUACCCGGGAUGAUAAUGACAGUACCGGGAGAAUAAGCGACGGCUAACUCCGUG
Molecule: ribosomal RNA, 433 nt
Filed under: uncultured bacterium
Lineage: Bacteria
Description: partial 16S ribosomal RNA
Rfam family: Bacterial small subunit ribosomal RNA
Source: RNAcentral